ACCAUUUUAGUAAAAUAAAUUAUAUCAUCUUGAUAAGGUGGAGUUCCUAGGAAGUGGUA
RNAcentral lists this transfer RNA (59 nucleotides) under Steinernema litorale. RNAcentral's name for it is "tRNA-Ile". Lineage: Eukaryota; Metazoa; Nematoda; Chromadorea; Rhabditida; Steinernematidae. The record is from RNAcentral.